Molecule: ribosomal RNA, 428 nt
Filed under: uncultured bacterium
Lineage: Bacteria
Description: bacterial SSU rRNA
Rfam family: Bacterial small subunit ribosomal RNA
Source: RNAcentral
UGGGGAAUCUUGGACAAUGGGGGCAACCCUGAUCCAGCGAUGCCGCGUGAGUGAAGAAGGCCUUCGGGUCGUAAAGCUCUUUAGGUUGGGAAGAAGGAUGCGUGGGGAUAAUCCACGUAUUUUGACGGUACUAACAGAAUAAGCACCGGCAAACUCUGUGCCAGCAGCCGCGGUAAUACAGAGGGUGCGAGCGUUAAUCGGAAUUACUGGGCGUAAAGGGCGCGUAGGCGGUUGAAUGGGUGUGAUGUGAAAGCCUUGGGCUUAACCUGAGAAGUGCAUCGCAAACUGUUUAACUGGAGUAGAUGAGAGGGUGGCGGAAUUUCCGGUGUAGCGGUGAAAUGCGUAGAGAUCGGAAGGAACGUCAAUGGCGAAGGCAGCCACCUGGCAUCAUACUGACGCUGAGGCGCGAGAGCGUGGGGAGCGAACAG